ACACUCCUACGGGAGGCAGCAGUGGGGAAUAUUGCACAAUGGGCGCAAGCCUGAUGCAGCCAUGCCGCGUGUAUGAAGAAGGCCUUCGGGUUGUAAAGUACUUUCAGCGGGGAGGAAGGCAAUACGGUUAAUAACCGUGUUGAUUGACGUUACCCGCAGAAGAAGCACCGGCUAACUCCGUGCCAGCAGCCGCGGUAAUACGGAGGGUGCAAGCGUUAAUCGGAAUUACUGGGCGUAAAGCGCACGCAGGCGGUCUGUCAAGUCGGAUGUGAAAUCCCCGGGCUCAACCUGGGAACUGCAUGCGAAACUGGCAGGCUUGAGUCUUGUAGAGGGGGGUAGAAUUCCAGGUGUAGCGGUGAAAUGCGUAGAGAUCUGGAGGAAUACCGGUGGCGAAGGCGGCCCCCUGGACAAAGACUGACGCUCAGGUGCGAAAGCGUGGGGAGCAAACAGGAUUAGAAACCCGGGUAGUCCC
Molecule: ribosomal RNA, 472 nt
Filed under: uncultured organism
Description: partial 16S ribosomal RNA
Rfam family: Bacterial small subunit ribosomal RNA
Source: RNAcentral